This is a long non-coding RNA of Bos taurus (domestic cattle), 882 nucleotides long. NCBI's taxonomy places the organism in Eukaryota, Metazoa, Chordata, Mammalia, Artiodactyla, Bovidae. The record is from Ensembl.
AUUUAUUUGUAUAAAACAAGUGGCUUAUUUUGUUAAUGAAUCCUUUGAACCUGAGAUGAAAGUGAAAACUUUUGGCAAAACAGUAUGAUGCCUACCUGUCCUUUCUCUUUUCUCGGACUGCUCAAACUAAAUAGUCAACUGGGCAUGUAAAAAAAUCUCUUUUCAUUGCCUCCCCCAAAUUCACAUACCCAAGAACUAGUGAAUUUGAAGAUAUCAGGUGGGGCCUGUAGGAAGCCUCAGACACUGGCAAUUGGGCAAAAAAAUAUUUGUAGAGCUGCUUGCAAGCAAAACCUUUUAUGUCUCAGAAAGUUAACGUUAUCUCCUUCCCUAGGAUAAACCUGGAAGGUACUGAUCGAAGGUUUCUGUGGAAGAAACCUGUUGUUGGAAACUCUCAGAACCUCCCAGACUACGAAAACACCACAGAUGACCCGCAUUCCCAGGGACUUUUGAGCUCAGAGCUGGAUGUCUGUGUUGAAGAGAAGGGAAAAGCCAAGUGCAGGGGGUGACAGAGGAGGAACGGAAGCCCUGCCGCCUGCAGGGGGCUUCCUGUUGUGGCUAUCCCGUGAUCAAACCUAGAGCUAGAACCUCCUAGAUCGUACAACAGAGGCUGGAGAUAAAAGAGUGACACAGGAUUAAUGACGGGGAAAAACACCUUGUGACAAUCGAGGCAGAGAUUGGAGGGAUGCAGUCACCAGUCAAGGAGUGCCAAGGGCUGCCAACAGCAGCACAGGAGGACAGCAGAUGUAAAAAGCUCAGGUGAGGGAGCAAGCCCUGGGGCUCUCUCUGAACAGCGGAGAAACCCACCAGGAGCUCAGGAAGCCUGAAGAAAAGAGGCUGCUUUCCAGGGCCCGCCAGAAGUAUACUUUGUGAUCUCUGUGGCUC